Molecule: ribosomal RNA, 432 nt
Filed under: uncultured bacterium
Lineage: Bacteria
Description: partial 16S ribosomal RNA
Rfam family: Bacterial small subunit ribosomal RNA
Source: RNAcentral
AACGAACGCUGGCGGCAUGCCUAACACAUGCAAGUCGAACGAGACCUUCGGGUCUAGUGGCGCACGGGUGCGUAACGCGUGGGAACCUGCCCUUAGGUUCGGAAUAACUCCCCGAAAGGGGUGCUAAUACCGGAUAAUGUCUUCGGACCAAAGAUUUAUCGCCUUUGGAUGGGCCCGCGUUGGAUUAGCUAGUUGGUAGGGUAAAAGCCUACCAAGGCGACGAUCCAUAGCUGGUCUGAGAGGAUGAUCAGCCACACUGGGACUGAGACACGGCCCAGACUCCUACGGAGGGCGGAGGUGGGGAAAAUUGAACAAUGGGCGAAGGCCUGAUCCGGCAAUGCCGGGUGAGUGAUAAGGGCCUAGGGUUGUAAAGCUCUUUUACCCGGGAUGAUAAUGACAGUACCGGGAGAAUAAGCUCCGGCUAACUCCGUG